RNAcentral lists this ribosomal RNA (502 nucleotides) under uncultured bacterium. RNAcentral describes it as "bacterial SSU rRNA". It matches the Rfam family "Bacterial small subunit ribosomal RNA", at positions 28 to 525 of the family's 1533-position model. The record is from RNAcentral.
GAUGAACGCUAGCGGCAGGCCUAAUACAUGCAAGACGAACGGUAAGUUGAGUAGCAAUACUUAGCCAAGAGUGUCGUACGGGUGCGUAACACGUAUGCAACCUACCCUAUACAGGAGGAUAGCCUAGGGAAACCUGGAUUAACCCUUCAUAGUAUUAUUGGAUGGCAUCAUUUGAUAAUUAAAACUGAGGUGGUAUAGGAUGGGCAUGCGUCUGAUUAGUUAGUUGGCGGGGUAAUGGCCCACCAAGACGAUGAUCAGUAGGGGUUCUGAGAGGAAGAUCCCCCACACUGGCACUGAGAUACGGGCCAGACUCCUACGGGAGGCAGCAGUAGGGAAUAUUGGUCAAUGGAUGCAAGUCUGAACCAGCCAUGCCGCGUGCAGGAAGAAGGCCUUCUGGGUUGUAAACUGCUUUUGCCAGGGGAUAAAAUUUCCAUUGCGUGGAAAACUGAAGGUACCUGGUGAAUAAGCCACGGCUAACUACGUGCCAGCAGCCGCGGUAAUC